UUUUAUGGAGAGUUUGAUCCUGGCUCAGGAUGAACGCUGGCGGCGUGCCUAAUACAUGCAAGUCGAGCGAACGGACGAGAAGCUUGCUUCUCUGAUGUUAGCGGCGGACGGGUGAGUAACACGUGGAUAACCUACCUAUAAGACUGGGAUAACUUCGGGAAACCGGAGCUAAUACCGGAUAAUAUUUUGAACCGCAUGGUUCAAAAGUAAAAGACGGUCUUGCUGUCACUUAUAGAUGGAUCCGCGCUGCAUUAGCUAGUUGGUAAGGUAACGGCUUACCAAGGCAACGAUGCAUAGCCGACCUGAGAGGGUGAUCGGCCACACUGGAACUGAGACACGGUCCAGACUCCUACGGGAGGCAGCAGUAGGGAAUCUUCCGCAAUGGGCGAAAGCCUGACGGAGCAACGCCGCGUGAGUGAUGAAGGUCUUCGGAUCGUAAAACUCUGUUAUUAGGGAAGAACAUAUGUGUAAGUAACUGUGCACAUCUUGACGGUACCUAAUCAGAAAGCCACGGCUAACUACGUGCCAGCAGCCGCGGUAAUACGUAGGUGGCAAGCGUUAUCCGGAAUUAUUGGGCGUAAAGCGCGCGUAGGCGGUUUUUUAAGUCUGAUGUGAAAGCCCACGGCUCAACCGUGGAGGGUCAUUGGAAACUGGAAAACUUGAGUGCAGAAGAGGAAAGUGGAAUUCCAUGUGUAGCGGUGAAAUGCGCAGAGAUAUGGAGGAACACCAGUGGCGAAGGCGACUUUCUGGUCUGUAACUGACGCUGAUGUGCGAAAGCGUGGGGAUCAAACAGGAUUAGAUACCCUGGUAGUCCACGCCGUAAACGAUGAGUGCUAAGUGUUAGGGGGUUUCCGCCCCUUAGUGCUGCAGCUAACGCAUUAAGCACUCCGCCUGGGGAGUACGACCGCAAGGUUGAAACUCAAAGGAAUUGACGGGGACCCGCACAAGCGGUGGAGCAUGUGGUUUAAUUCGAAGCAACGCGAAGAACCUUACCAAAUCUUGACAUCCUUUGACAACUCUAGAGAUAGAGCCUUCCCCUUCGGGGGACAAAGUGACAGGUGGUGCAUGGUUGUCGUCAGCUCGUGUCGUGAGAUGUUGGGUUAAGUCCCGCAACGAGCGCAACCCUUAAGCUUAGUUGCCAUCAUUAAGUUGGGCACUCUAAGUUGACUGCCGGUGACAAACCGGAGGAAGGUGGGGAUGACGUCAAAUCAUCAUGCCCCUUAUGAUUUGGGCUACACACGUGCUACAAUGGACAAUACAAAGGGCAGCGAAACCGCGAGGUCAAGCAAAUCCCAUAAAGUUGUUCUCAGUUCGGAUUGUAGUCUGCAACUCGACUACAUGAAGCUGGAAUCGCUAGUAAUCGUAGAUCAGCAUGCUACGGUGAAUACGUUCCCGGGUCUUGUACACACCGCCCGUCACACCACGAGAGUUUGUAACACCCGAAGCCGGUGGAGUAA
RNAcentral lists this ribosomal RNA (1457 nucleotides) under Staphylococcus aureus. RNAcentral's name for it is "bacterial SSU rRNA". It matches the Rfam family "Bacterial small subunit ribosomal RNA". The record is from RNAcentral. Lineage: Bacteria; Bacillati; Bacillota; Bacilli; Caryophanales; Staphylococcaceae.